AAUUGGCAAAUGAUGGUUGGUGGCUAUAGCAACGAGUCGUAAUAAUUCGGCUGCCCUGCUGUCUAAAAUCAGUUGACACGUGCACGUCAGGGCGAUUGAGUGACGACAGCCUUCCUAAUAUUUUGUCAUCUUAAAGCGACAGGCGAGUCCUGAAAAGCACCAGCUCCCGAAGCCAAGUAUCUGCAUCCUAUUUACAAGAACCUCUUCACUAUAAGCAGCUUCUCUAAGGAGCCUACGCCUGAGCUUGUAUCGAUGGCAACGGGGGAUUCCCAAGACGACGUGCAGUACGUACGGACUCUCAGUAAGCAGAGCACCGCCAAAAAUGUCACAACUGAAGAAAACAACAAUUGCCCUGAAGAAAAAGACCUGCAAACGAUCUUUGAAAACUUGACUACAGCUGACGAAACAGAAAUGGAAGAAGAUGUGUCAGUAUUGUUGAAAUUUCGUCCUGUCGAUGCCCUAUUUUCCGAUCUCACUUUUCAACUCGUUGGUUCCAUGGAUGCGAAUUGGAUGUAUUGGACGACAGAUCUCAUCGAAAGUAACGGAGGUCGCGUAGUGUCAAACGGCGCCAAAUACAAGGUUACUACACCCGUCGUCCAUGCCGAAUUGCUCCCAGACGAUCCAGUUGGGCAAGCUGUUGCGAUCAACACAUUUUGGAUCGAGGACUGCAUCGAUGAGGAUUGUCUAGUGGAAAUUGAAAUCUAUCAUCAACCAAUCAAAUUCCAGAACAGCCAAAUAUUUGCAGGAUGUGUGGUGUCGUUCAGUGGGAUUCAAGGUCGACUGAGAGAUUUCCUUAAGUACUUGGUCGAUCAUCUUGGAGGCAAACAACAAGAGUUCUUCUCUCGCAAAAUGGUCGAAGCUAAAGACGUUUACCCUUCCACACAUCUUGUAUGCCCCGAAGCUGAAGGAAGGAAAUAUGAAAAAGCCAUCAAGUGGGGAGUCCCUGUCGUUAACGCUGAAUGGAUUAUUGCAUCCGCCACUUCUAGUACUCGACUGAAGGAAACAGAUUUCGGGAUCUUUCGACCACCUGGUGAUCAAACACUCUCAGCUCCUGUUUCAUUUUCGUCAAUUACUUUUGAUGCCCCCACGCCUGUUCAAAUGGGGCAACCAACGAUUCCUGUGAUACUCCCUGUCCUGACUGACUCGGCUUCAGAGGGCUUUUUACUGCAGACUUCUCAUGGUACAAAAUCUUUCGGUAUAUCCCCCACACCUCGACCAGCUCUUAGUAAUAUGCGUACACCCGACACUCCAUACGGACGAUUAUUAAAUCCGGAUCCAUCACCAAAUACUCGAAAACUGUGGAAACAUGCAUUGGAUAACCGCGUCCGUUUGACGCCCAGACCAGAAGAUUCACCGACCACUACGUCUCCAAUCAAGAGUGAAAGAGAAACUUUGGUUUCCCUCGCCGAGGAUUAUUUUGCAAAUCUAACUGAAAAAUUGUUAAACUGCAAUUGGGAGGAUCCAGAUGAAGUGACAAAUGCAGAAGCUUCGCCUUUGCCGGAUCCGAAUCUUCCUCCGUUACACGCGGCGAGGAUUUUUAUUGGCCAGGAGAUCGAAGAAGACAGACGACUCGAGAUGGAGGAAUUCAUCACAACUCUGGGCGGUCAAGUUAUUCUCCAGCACUCCCAGGAAGUAACUCAUUUCAUAUGUCAGGGCGAGUUGACCCCUUCCGAAGAUAUGCAGAAUGCCAGAAAAUGGAAUCAACUGUUCGUCUUGCCUCAGUGGAUCGUAGACUGCGAAUAUGCUGGAAGUCGUUUGCGUGCUGCAACUUGCUAUCAACCGUCCCUAAAUUUUGAAACAGUUUUAUUACCAGAUGUUGCGCCCGUCUCUUCCGGUCCCCUGGAAACAACACCUGAACUGCAAAGCCUUCCCAACAGUCUAGCUGAAGAAGAAAAACCCUUGCAGGCCGAGCAAGUUCUCCCUCGUCCAACUCAGGAGAUUUCCUUGCCAAACGAUCCAGUAGCUAGCCAGUUGGAAAAUGUUCCUGUACGUUUGGCACCACCACCGUGUUCACCAGAUGCAGUUAGCCGGAUUUCACAAAGGCCAAAUGCAUCGAAGAGACUAAACGAGUCGAAGAGGCUAAAUGCUUCACGGUACAGUGGCCAUUCUUUCCGGAUCAUGUUCUCUGGUAUGUCACAAGAAGAUCGUGACAGCUGUGUUCAAAUAAUCGAAGUGCUAGGCGGGAUUGCCAUCGAUGGCAAACAUUACGAUUCAACAUGCACUCACCUUGUAGUUGCCAAACUUGAGUGUAACGACAAGCUGAUGACAUCUAUCGCUGCAGGAAAAUGGAUUGUUCAUCCUGGAUGGAUCGCAAAGAGCGAGCAAACUUAUCACUUUGUCGAUGAGCGAAUAUUCGAGUGGGGCAAUCCUACGUCCAAUGAUUCCAUUUCCAAAGAGGAAGCCAGGAUUUCCGCCGCUGCUUAUUACUGGCGCACUAUUCGAAACCGUGGCCUUUCUACCGGCCCUUUCCAAGGCAUUAAGGCCGUACUUUACCUCCGCAAGAAGAACGAUGCCUUCCAGCAGUUAAUUGAAGCCGGCGGAGGAGAAGUGAUUGCUCCCGAAUUGGCUUUGGAGAAUGGAAAGACCAACCUCUGUGUCCUGGAUAGUCGUGAAAUCAACAAAAUUAAACUUCGUUUAUACGCCAGUAAAGGUAUCUAUUGCGUCCCACCCAAUUACCUCAGGGACUUGAUCCUCGCCAAAGACAAUAAGUGCCAGUGGGCGGAAUGUGUUUUGCCAGAAUUUCUCCCCUUUUUAGACACCAUUCCUUCAACCCACAUUUAGUUAUUCUAUUGUCGUUAUCUGUUCCUAUAGCUGAUUUAUCUCGAUAUAGUGUCUUAACUUCUUCUUUAACAUCAGCAAGAAUUAUUGAACCAGGUUGCGGUUUUUGAUUGGGUUACAAAAGACUUUUAACGAAUGUUUGUCGAGAGAAUUGCAUGCUGUUUGUUUUUUUAAGAAAAGAAAGUGAUGGGAACAAUUAUGUAGAUUCUCAAAAUAAUCCUCCGCGAGGGAAUCCGAAAUUUCUCUUUCAUUCUUGAUUGGUGACGUAGUGGUCGGUGAGUCAUCGGUUCUGGGCGUCAAACGGACGCAAAUCCAAUGCAUGUUUCCACAGUUUUCGAGCCGUUUGUAUUUUUUGUUCGGUUGCAGAGUAGUGAUGGAGUACGGUAGCUUGUGAUUUUCUUUUCAUUUUCAAAGAAUGGCUUGUGCUAUAUAGUUGUUAAUUCUACGUAGAAUGUUUAUAUGAUGUUUAUUUCUUUUACGGUGACAAAUUACUUUCUGUCAAAUUUGCAUGAGAAAUGAGUUUUACAUCCCAUAAUCCCCUAUCACACUGCCAGGAAAGAAAUUUGGGUAAUGGAUUAUUUACCGUAACGGCGUAUUGGGAAACACGCAACCCAAGGAGCUGCGACUCGAUUAGCAUUUAUUUAUGUUUUUGCAGCAUCUGAUUAUUAGUUGGGCAAAGGAUUAUUUUACAUAAUAGUGAAAACCAAAUCCAUUUUACCUUCCAGUUCCAGGUUUCUUUUGCAAUUUGAAUUCUAAAUAAAGCAAUCUAUACCCGUUGGCAAAUUCCCAAUUUAUCAGGCAUUUCUUUGUUUACGAUUCUAUCAUAAUUAUCGCAGUUGGUCUUCACUAUGGUCAACUAGAAGGAUUUAUUCAUUAAAAUGGUGUCACUUUGUUUAAAAAUUGGUUCAGAAACAGGCAUUGCUACUAUAUUACCUUACAUUAAAUUAUUUAAAUUACGUUUAUUCUCGCCCAAAUGUGCCUAAUGAUUAAGAAUCGCGAUAUGCAUCAGUAAACUUGUAAGAAUACCGCAAAAAGAAAGAUAAUGAGUAAAUAACUGGAACAAGUUCAACAUUUCUCGCCAUAAUCCUAUUCCACCAGUGGACAAGGUCUAUGGCACAACGUUGAGAGAUUAAACUGAAAGGAUUAUUAAACUGUCAAUUUAAAAAAAAUUAAAGAUUGCAGUGACAGCAAGAAAUACCCAAAUGUAUCAAUUUUAACCCAUAGAUAGAUAGGGUCACAGAAAGGAAGAGAGCUCAGGCGAGUACUUGAAAUGUAUCAUCCAGAAACAAAAACCUAAAGACAAAACCAAUGAAUUGUAGAUGCAGAAAAAUGUUAUUCAGUCUUGGUGUUGAAACGACAUCUCACCAUUAUCAAAAUUGGAAACGAUAGUCAAUUACAUGUAAUGACGACUCAAAGUUCUUAGUUUCACUUGAGAUUCACCAUCUACAAAACAUGCAUCUGGAAGACAAGAUAAGAAAAUUAGUAAGAUUUCUGUGAUAUUAAAAUUUGUGAUUCCAUUUCUACUACAGGCAUACUACAGUACAGCUGUAGGAUUGAUGAUAGCUUAGAAAUGAUAGCUAAGUGGCUUGCUUCAACAAUGGGCGUCAUUACGUGGCAAAUGAUGACAAAUGGACUGGUAAAUAUGCAUGAGAACAUUUAGUUAACAUACUUAUGGCAAUCCGUUUUAAGUCCGUUGGAAAAGAGAUUUUUGAUAGGCUGAUUCGAAUAUUAUUCAAAGAAAGCAUUGUUGGCGCCUCCGUUUGCCACCUGACGGUCAGUUAGUGAAUUGCUCAUCGGUUUAAUUGUCGCUAGGUGGACUAAAAUGAUGUCCACCAGGUGGCGGGAUUGUUUUCAGGGUGAGGACAGAUUACGAGCAAUAGUCGCAACUUGCGAGUGGUGGGUGCUUCAUGCCUUUUGCUUUUACGGCACGAAUUUUCGUCGAAAACCGCUUUACAGCAGCGUCGAUGGUCUUAUCCCACUUUAUCCUCCUUUAAGUUACAACUUACAGCUAAGAUCUUGAUAUUUGAAUAGUUAAUGAAACAUCCACGAUGCCACAAUUGAUUGGAGUGAAACCACUGUCCCAAACAUGUCUCAAUUUGAUAACAAAUAAGAUGGCUUCAAUGUGUGACAAGACAUCAAGCACCGCUAUAACUAGCAAUACAACAAACCAAAGUUAUUUUGAUCACUUACCUUCAAAGUUUUUGGAAGAAAUGAUCAGCACUCUCCAAACCAAAGGAUGUCUGAAACAAUUCCUUAGUUUGUUGGCAGCUCCACAACUUGGGACCUUAUAUCUGGAAGUUUUGUCAAAGGAAGAAUAUUCUGUUCAUUUCGUCAAUUCACUGAGAUGUGUAUACUUAAGAAACCUACAUCUCCGGUCAUCAGUUCAUAUUAAUGACAUCUUCUUGACUUCCAUCAUUCCUACAUUUGCAAAAUUACAAGUUCUGGUGAUUUCGAAUUCUUCAGCUGGGGACAAGAGCUUGAAAGUUAUAGGAACUUGUUGCAGAUAUUUGAGAGAACUGGAAAUUAUUGACUGCAAGAAUAUUACAGAUUUUGGAGUAGGAAUGCUGUGUGUUAAUAGUGCGCGCAAUCUAGGAAGGGAAGGUGAUGAAUUGGGACUGCAUAAAUCUCUUCUUAAAUUGAGUUCGUCUGGUACUAAAAUUACCAACACAGGAAUACGGUUGGGCUUGGAAACUUUCCAUAGUCUUAUAGUCUGGGAUAUGGUAACUGGAAAUUUCUUGGCGGAAAUUCACGAAGAAGAUUUCUUGAAUCCAUCCUCGGAGAUUCAGAACUUGUAUUCCCUGAUGCAUUUGGGAUUCACUUGCAAUUAUGACUACAUCCCUAAAACUUUUGGAUUGGUUUUGUCUCUGUGUCCCUUUGUGAUUGAGUUAGAAAUCGAUAUCGACGUAGGAAUGGACGAUAGUGAAAUGCUAAGUUUGUUAUCCCUGGUAAAACUCCGUGAACUGAAAUUGGGUGGAAAUUUUAUUCAUUCUAAUGUCACGUUUCAUGGUGGUGUGAUUCCAAUUUUAAAAAAAUUUGGAAAUUCAUCACUGAAGACACUUUCUCUGUCCGGAUCGAUUUAUCAUGUCAAUAUUCCGGUAAUCACACAGCUUUGCCCGAACCUUCAAUGCUUUCACCUCUUGGGGAUGCAGAUAUAUUCUGACGAAAAAUUCAAUGAAGAAGGAUUUAAGACUGAGUCUCAAAUAUUGAAGAAACUUGAAAAGCUGAUGAUUCAUGGGUUCAGCUAUAACAUCUCAGAACUGAAACUGUUUCCGCGCCAACAUUUAAUCUUGCUAUUGUCUGCGCCUCAACUUUUGGACAUAGCUAUCGUUUAUUGCUUUACGCUAACAGACGACGUUCUCCAAGAGGCAGCUCGACUUCAAAAGUUCCAUUAUCUCGAAAAUCUUGAACUUACAGAAUGCCACAAUGUGACUGAGAAAGGAAUUGAUAUCUUCAUGAAUGCUCAAAACACUCUUAAGAAGAUCACGUUACGUAUGUGUCGUCAAAUAACGAAGAGCAAUAUUGAAUGUUGGAAAAAGCAAGCUGAAAUGAACAAUUGGCAAAUAUUGAUCGAGUUCGAACAGUAUGAUGAUGAUGCUGAUGAUCAGUAGUGUGUAGUAGUUGAAGAUGUUGUAAAACUAAAUAUAUUUGUAAACUAAA
This 6435-nucleotide unclassified non-coding RNA is filed under the name Daphnia pulex (common water flea). RNAcentral describes it as "dNA topoisomerase 2-binding protein 1-like, transcript variant X5". The record is from RNAcentral. Lineage: Eukaryota; Metazoa; Arthropoda; Branchiopoda; Diplostraca; Daphniidae.